CACGUAGGGGGCGAGCGUUGUCCGGAUUUAUUGGGCGUAAAGAGCUAGUAGGCGGCUCCGUACGUGAGGUGUGAAAACUCCAGGCUCAACCUGGAGACGCCACCUCAUACUGCGGUGGCUAGAGUCCGGUAGGGGAGCAUGGAAUUCCUGGUGUAGCGGUGAAAUGCGCAGAUAUCAGGAGGAACACCAGUGGCGAAGGCGGUGCUCUGGGCCGGUACUGACGCUGAGGAGCGAAAGCGUGGGGAGCAAACAGG
This 254-nucleotide ribosomal RNA is filed under the name uncultured bacterium. RNAcentral's name for it is "partial 16S ribosomal RNA". It matches the Rfam family "Bacterial small subunit ribosomal RNA", at positions 524 to 776 of the family's 1533-position model. The record is from RNAcentral.